This 921-nucleotide ribosomal RNA is filed under the name uncultured Bacteroidota bacterium. Its description in RNAcentral is "bacterial SSU rRNA". It matches the Rfam family "Bacterial small subunit ribosomal RNA", at positions 1 to 916 of the family's 1533-position model. The record is from RNAcentral. Lineage: Bacteria; Pseudomonadati; Bacteroidota.
GGAUCCAGACUUUGAUUCUGGCUCAGGAUGAACGCUAGCUACAGGCCUAACACAUGCAAGUCGAGGGGAAACGGCAGCUUAGCUUGCUAAGCUGGACGUCGACCGGCGCACGGGUGAGUAACGCGUAUCCAACCUGCCCCACGGUGAGGGAUAACCCGCGGAAACGCGGCCUAAUACCUCAUGGUCUCCGAGUUUGCCAUCAACCUUGGAGUAAAGAUUCAUUGCCGUGGGAUGGGGAUGCGUCUGAUUAGCUUGUUGGCGGGGCAACAGCCCACCAAGGCAACGAUCAGUAGGGGUUCUGAGAGGAAAGCCCCCCACAUUGGAACUGAGACACGGUCCAAACUCCUACGGGAGGCAGCAGUGAGGAAUAUUGGUCAAUGGGCGAGAGCCUGAACCAGCCAAGUAGCGUGCAGGAUGACGGCCCUAUGGGUUGUAAACUGCUUUUAUGCGGGGAUAAAGCGGGCGACGUGUCGCCCUUUGCAGGUACCGCAUGAAUAAGGACCGGCUAAUUCCGUGCCAGCAGCCGCGGUAAUACGGAAGGUCCGGGCGUUAUCCGGAUUUAUGGGUUUAAAGGGAGCGCAGGCCGGGUAUUAAGCGUGUUGUGAAAUGUAGGCGCCCAACGUCUGCACCGCAGCGCGAACUGGUGCCCUUGAGUACGCACGACGUUGGCGGAAUUCGCCGUGUAGCGGUGAAAUGCUUAGAUAUGGCGAAGAACUCCGAUUGCGAAGGCAGCUGACGGGAGCGCUACUGACGCUCAUGCUCGAAAGCGCGGGUAUCGAACAGGAUUAGAUACCCUGGUAGUCCGCGCGGUAAACGAUGGAUGCCCGCUAUUUGCGCAUUAGCGCAAGUGGCCAAGUGAAAACGUUAAGCAUCCCACCUGGGGAGUACGCCGGCAACGGUGCAACUCAAAUGAAUUGACGG